RNAcentral lists this ribosomal RNA (449 nucleotides) under uncultured bacterium. RNAcentral describes it as "partial 16S ribosomal RNA". It matches the Rfam family "Bacterial small subunit ribosomal RNA", at positions 354 to 796 of the family's 1533-position model. The record is from RNAcentral.
GUGGGGAAUUUUGGACAAUGGGCGCAAGCCUGAUCCAGCAAUGCCGCGUGCAGGAAGAAGGCCUUCGGGUUGUAAACUGCUUUUGUACGGAACGAAACGGUCCUGGUUAAUACCUGGGGCUAAUGACGGUACCGUAGAAUAAGCACCGGCUAACUACGUGCCAGCAGCCGCGGUAAUACGUAGGGUGCGAGUGUUAAUCGGAAUUACUGGGCGUAAAGCGUGCGCAGGCGGUGCUGUAAGACAGACGUGAAAUCCCCGGGCUCAACCUGGGAAUGGCGGUUGUGACUGCAAAGCUGGAGUGCGGCAGAGGGGGAUGGAAUUCCGCGUGUAGCAGUGAAAUGCGUAGAUAUGCGGAGGAACACCGAUGGCGAAGGCAAUCCCCUGGGCCUGCACUGACGCUCAUGCACGAAAGCGUGGGGAGCAAACAGGAUUAGAAACCCGUGUAGUCC